UCUGCUACUUCUUAGGUGCUGUGAAGUUGCUAAUGUUCACGCUUCAAGGAUUGUCAGCUACACCGCUGUAGAAUCACCAAACAAUGCCUCCAAAUCCCUCAAGAAGUCAGCCAUACAGCCUUCUAACUUUAGGAGCAUCUCAUGUUGACUUUGUCAAAUAUCUCAGGAUCCAUCACGAACCACAGAUGAACUAGGGCCCCGAGCUUCAACAUCAGAGAGGGAGAUGUUUCCCUGCAUUUGGUUCUCAAACACACACCUCUACAGACGUGGCUGAAUCCCCUCUUCCAUCCCUCUAGGGAAGAGAUGGCCUGAUACGGAGUCUGGCUAGAGUACUGAAAAUUUAUCAUAAUGUUUAUACUUCAUCGUCUUCUAUUCUUGUGCCUUCUAG
RNAcentral lists this long non-coding RNA (388 nucleotides) under Homo sapiens (human). RNAcentral's name for it is "HSALNT0367030". The record is from RNAcentral. Lineage: Eukaryota; Metazoa; Chordata; Mammalia; Primates; Hominidae.